AGUCGAGGGGCAGCACAGGUAGCAAUACCGGGUGGCGACCGGCGCACGGGUGAGUAACGCGUAUGCAACUUGCCUAUCAGAGGGGGAUAACCCGGCGAAAGUCGGACUAAUACCGCAUGAAGCAGGGGCCCCGCAUGGGGAUAUUUGCUAAAGAUUCAUCGCUGAUAGAUAGGCAUGCGUUCCAUUAGGCAGUUGGCGGGGUAACGGCCCACCAAACCGACGAUGGAUAGGGGUUCUGAGAGGAAGGUCCCCCACAUUGGUACUGAGACACGGACCAAACUCCUACGGGAGGCAGCAGUGAGGAAUAUUGGUCAAUGGGCGUAAGCCUGAACCAGCCAAGUCGCGUGAGGGAUGAAGGUUCUAUGGAUCGUAAACCUCUUUUAUAAGGGAAUAAAGUGCGGGACGUGUCCCGUUUUGUAUGUACCUUAUGAAUAAGGAUCGGCUAACUCCGUGCCAGCAGCCGCGGUAAUACGGAGGAUCCGAGCGUUAUCCGGAUUUAUUGGGUUUAAAGGGUGCGUAGGCGGCCUUUUAAGUCAGCGGUGAAAGUCUGUGGCUCAACCAUAGAAUUGCCGUUGAAACUGGGGGGCUUGAGUAUGUUUGAGGCAGGCGGAAUGCGUGGUGUAGCGGUGAAAUGCUUAGAUAUCACGCAGAACCCCGAUUGCGAAGGCAGCCUGCCAAGCCAUGACUGACGCUGAUGCACGAAAGCGUGGGGAUCAAACAGGAUUAGAUACCCUGGUAGUCCACGCAGUANACGAUGAUCACUAGCUGUUNGCGAUACAGUGUAAGCGGCACAGCGAAAGCGUUAAGUGAUCCACCUGG
Molecule: ribosomal RNA, 819 nt
Filed under: uncultured bacterium
Lineage: Bacteria
Description: bacterial SSU rRNA
Rfam family: Bacterial small subunit ribosomal RNA
Source: RNAcentral